ACUAGCUCAAGCUAGCCCCAGCAAGAAUUGUUGAUACAAUAAAUAUAAAUUUUUCAUAUCCUCUUUUCUUGGAUAAAGGGUUAUUUAUAUACAAGAAUAUUGCCUUGCUCAAUUCAACAUCAUAUGCUUGGUGUGAUCCGCAAAGUGUGCUAACGAAAACUUCUCCAAAUCAUUCAUUGACAACUGUCCCAUGCUAGAAUCUUCUAUUCCUCCAUUCUGAUUUGCUGCAGCCAGCCCUUUUUUUUCAUUUCUUUCUAUAAUACAGCCGUAAAGGCCUUGAACUUUGGCCCAAGAAAGCUGAAUCCAUGUUUGGGCUGCUAACAUGGACACAUACAAACACAUUGACCAAAUCUCUCACAUUACAAUCAAAGGAAACACAAAAUUAUUUUAAUUAAUUGUUGACAUAAUAUGGUGAGGGAAAAUGAAUUUGGGAUUUUCCCUUUUUUUAGUGUUUACUUUGUUGUGUAUUUUUCUGUUUAAGAGUUUUAUUUUUGUACCUGGAAAAGAGUAGGAUAUUAUUGUUGUUGUUUCUAUUAUUGAUGAUGUUAUUUUUAGUAAUUUAUCAAAAUUCAGGCAAAUGGCUCAUUUUGACCUUUUAACUAAUAGACAAUAGUUAUAGUAGUCCCUGACAAAAAUUUAUAGUUAAACCAACCUCUUAACUUCUAAUUUUGGCCAAAUAAGCGCAAAAUUAACGUCUUUUAACUAAUGGUGUUAGAAAAAAUUAGUGAAGUAGAUUUUUAAUGAAUAAAAAAAAGGCAAAAGGCCUAAAUUGAGGACUCAUUUUUUAUGCAAUAAUCAGAUAAAUCCUUAAAUUUUAAUUGUAGUCAAUCAAGACCUUCAAAUUUUAGUUAGGGUUAAGUAGAUUUGAUGAACCUUGCCUUCAAUGAUGAUGAGUAGGUCUAGAAUAGAGAACCAAAUAUUUUAUUUUGUUGUUUGGAUUUUUUGAGUUUCUCUAGAGCUGUGUCUAGUGAUUGAAGAAAAGUUGGUAUUUUCAUUUUGGAUGGUAGUUUGGAUUUUAUGGAGGAGAGAUUGGCCAAAUGGAUGACAGUACAAAUAUGGUUUAGAGCUGCAAAGUUUUUGUUUUGUAAGUGAAUGGGAAAGAAAUCAUUGCUAUAUGAAAAUGAAAGAGCUAAAGACGCUUUUUUCUUCUUCGUGACUGCUAGAAUAUGUUUAGUAGAAAGUUAAAAAAUCAAGAGUUUAAUGUUAUCUUGGUAAGUUUUAACUUUUAAAGAGGAUAAUUAUUAACCUAGUCAUUCCAAGAUUUAACAUUUAACCCCUCAAGAGGCUAUAAAUAUUAAUGAGAUGAAAAAUUAACUUAGUCUCUUUAAGUAUCCAAAUAACAUUAAUGAAAGAUUAAAAGUUGCAAGGGUAAUAAUUAUCAUUUGUUAACCUUGUGCCAAAUGUCCCUUAGGAUUUGUCUCUAGUUAUUUGUAAAAGAGAAAGGAUGGAGUUUCAAUCAGGAAGGGAAUGAACGAGGGAGAGGUGGCUGGUUCUUGAUCAAUAAAGAGGAAGAUGGAAAAAAGGAAGAGCGAUAUUUUGUUCUUUUUUGUUAAUGAUAAAAAAAUUUUCAAUUUGGCCUAAAUUAAAUUGUGAAGGGUUCAAUUAACUUCCAAUAAAAAGCAAUGGCCUAUUUAAUUAUUAUACUAAUAUAAAGGGUUAAUUUGGACAUUUUGUAAUUAAAAUAGAUCGUGUUUCAUCGUGUGAGAGCAUGUGAUUGAGUUCAAUUGAGCUAAAAUUGAAAUAUAAAAGGUCUAUUGAACCCAAUUGAAAUUUGAGGGGUUUGUUUUUACUGUACAUUUUUGUUAGGGGCUAGUAUGACCAUUGACUAUUAGUUAAAGGGCCAAAAUAGGCCAUUUGCUCAAUAUUUAUUUGAAAGUUUGCGUUUCUAGGAGAUGUUAAUAAUUACUUAGGUAGGAUUUAUUUGUUUAUUAUUUUAUGAUGAUCUGUUAUUUAUUUUAUGAUUGUAGUAUUCUAUGCUAAUGAUUUAGGCCCCUUUUGGGUUUGCGGUUGAGAGGCUAACAAAGUGCCUUUUGAAAAAGCAUUAUUUUAUAUUUUGUCGAAAAAAGUAGUUUGAAAAAACAUGUCAAAUUUAAUUUUAA
Molecule: unclassified non-coding RNA, 2099 nt
Filed under: Hevea brasiliensis (rubber tree)
Lineage: Eukaryota; Viridiplantae; Streptophyta; Magnoliopsida; Malpighiales; Euphorbiaceae
Source: RNAcentral